Long non-coding RNA from Frieseomelitta varia, 1565 nucleotides. RefSeq lists it as uncharacterized. NCBI's taxonomy places the organism in Eukaryota, Metazoa, Arthropoda, Insecta, Hymenoptera, Apidae. The transcript is spliced from 2 exons. The record is from RefSeq and is a predicted model, not a curated record.
UCGGGUGAAGGAAUCUGAAUUUGGAAGUAUAAUAGAACCAACGAGGUCGAGUGUAAUCGAAGAAUUGUUGAAAAUUCUUUUCAUUUCUCGAAAAAUAUCCUUUUUUCUUUUAUUGCAUUUUCAGAAUCUAUAGAUUCCACUUUACAUGUCGAUAAAUUACCAAUUACCAACCUUGUGUUUCAAUAAUUGGAUAGGAAAGAACAGAAGAGGAACUUUUUUUCAUUUGAUUGCUUGUUAAAUAUGAGAAAAUAUUUUUCAAGAAAUAUCAUUGCAAAUCGUUUGUAAAAUGUGGGUAAAAAAAAAAGAAAUAGAUUUAAAAUUUAAAAUUCAGUCAUAUAAAUUGCAUGUAAAUGUAAUAAAACUUGGAGCCUUUCUGGUAAUCUGAUUUGAAAUAAUUGUUCUACUAUUUAUCAUUGAAACAUAAACUGUAGACAUCCAAAUAAUGCGAACAAAAAUAAUAGAUAUAUAGUCUCGUAAGCAACAGCUUUAACUGAAACAUGAGCUAUAUCUUUUCAUUACAUUCUGUAAAGAAAGUCGAUAGUAUUAUACAAUAAAAUUCACAUUGGAGGUCGAUCAUGAAACAGAUACAGAGGAUUCUCCGACCUUCUAGGACCUGGCAAAUCCUAGAUCCUCAGAUAGAAGGAAUAAGGAUCUGUAGACUAUAAACAACACUCGAAAGUACAGACGAGCCCAAAGAUAUGCAGGUUUCCUUGCUCACACCAGUAACCAUACAAUCACACUACCUCUCCUGAGAAGCAUCCACAAAUCUUUUUAUGCAGGUUAAAGAGUCACCAAACCCCAGGCGAGGUUAUUAAAUCACAAUUAAAUCAACUACAGUCGAACGAACUGCAGCGCUUUUUGUAUAAAUACCGUAUUGUACAAGUGUAUGAUUGUAUAUUCUUUACAAUCCGGCAUUUCCUUAUAAUCAAAAUUACCCACUACACACCAGCGAAUAGCAAUAAUGGAACACUAUCGAUACUAUUCAUCAAGACGGUGCUCUCUGCUCGAUUCAUAUGCGGCUCGUCAAUGUAGUGUAAAGAUACUACAUUGUAGUAUAAAAAUACUACAAAUGGGCCUUAUCGUGGAAGCGUCUGACGAUCGUUGACAAUCGAAAAUCCAGUUGAUAUAAUAAUGAUAUACUGACAGGAGCUGUAGCAUCAUGGCUGUAGUCGCAUUUGCGAGGCUACCUACACGAGCAGGCCCCGAGGGACCGACCGGUCUGGCCAUAUUAGUCCACAGAGGCCACUAGCAGGCUGACGUCACCAAGGGUCACUCGCUGCGUUGACAUAACGUCCUAGACGUUUCUCAUCUAUGGUACAUCCCGUGACACGAGCCAACUCAUCGUUUUCCAUAGAUCCGCUCGAUUUCAGCCGACCGUAAAGACAGCAGCCGCGCUUAAAUGGUUAAGCGGCGUGAAACGUGACUCAAAUCACUCCAACACCGUGGGACCUUGUUAACUAUGGGCUGACCUCAUUUUCAAUUGGAAAAGCAGGUUAACCGUGGAAUUCCCUUGGCCGGUCCAAACUGGAAACAGCAAAACGACAAUAAAUGUUAAAACAUUUCUA